UGGAAUCGCUAGUAAUCGCGGAUCAGAAUGCCGCGGUGAAUACGUUCCCGGGUCUUGUACACACCGCCCGUCACACCAUGGAAGUUGGGGGUGCCCAAGGCCGGCAAGCAAAUAUGCUGUCUAAGGCAAAACCAAUGACUGGGGUGAAGUCGUAACAAGGUAAC
This 164-nucleotide ribosomal RNA is filed under the name uncultured bacterium. RNAcentral's name for it is "partial 16S ribosomal RNA". It matches the Rfam family "Bacterial small subunit ribosomal RNA", at positions 1327 to 1500 of the family's 1533-position model. The record is from RNAcentral.